CAAAGGAGCAAUCCGCUGAAAGAUGGGCUCGCGUCCGAUUAGGUAGUUGGCGGGGCAACGGCCCACCAAGCCGACGAUCGGUAGCCGGACUGAGAGGUUGAACGGCCACAUUGGGACUGAGACACGGCCCAGACUCCUACGGGAGGCAGCAGUGAGGGAUAUUGGUCAAUGGGGGAAACCCUGAACCAGCAACGCCGCGCGAGGGAAGACGGUUUUCGGAUUGUAAACCUCUGUCCUCUGUGAAGAUAAUGACGGUAGCAGAGGAGGAAGCUCCGGCUAACUACGUGCCAGCAGCCGCGGUAAUACGUAGGGAGCAAGCGUUGUCCGGAUUUACUGGGUGUAAAGGGUGCGUAGGCGGCUUUGCAAGUCAGAAGUGAAAUCCAUGGGCUUAACCCAUGAACUGCUUUUGAAACUGCAGAGCUUGAGUGGAGUAGAGGUAGGCGGAAUUCCCGGUGUAGCGGUGAAAUGCGUAGAGAUCGGGAGGAACACCAGUGGCGAAGGCGGCCUGCUGGGCUCUAACUGACGCUGAGGCACGAAAGCGUGGGUAGCAAACAGGAUUAGAUACCCUGGUAGUCCACGCUGUAAACGAUGAUUACUAGGUGUGGGUGGACUGACCCCAUCC
This 622-nucleotide ribosomal RNA is filed under the name uncultured bacterium. RNAcentral's name for it is "bacterial SSU rRNA". It matches the Rfam family "Bacterial small subunit ribosomal RNA", at positions 202 to 842 of the family's 1533-position model. The record is from RNAcentral.